UCCUUUUGUAGAUAAUUUAAGGUCUAGCCUGCCCACUGAAAUUUUAAAUGGCCGUGGUAUUUUGACCGUGCUAAGGUAGCAUAAUCAUUAGUUUUUUAAUUAAAAACUGGAAUGAAAGGUUGGAUGAGAAAAUAGCUGUCUCUAUUAAAUUUAAUUAAAAUUUUAUUUUUAAGUUAAAAAGCUUAAUUAUUAUUAAAAGACGAGAAGACCCUAUAGAGUUUAAUUAUUUAGUAAAAAUUAUAUUUUAGUAUUAAUUUAUUUAUUUUAUUAAAUAAUUUAAUUGGGGUGAUUGAAAAAUUUAAUUAACUUUUUUUAUUUAAGAACAUUAAUUUAUGAAUAAAUGAUCCAAUAUUUUUGAUUAUAAGAUAAAAUUACCUUAGGGAUAACAGCGUAAUUUUUUUAGAAAGUUCAUAUUAAAAAAAAAGAUUGCGACCUCGAUGUUGGAUUAAAAUAAAUUUUUGGUGUAGAAGCUAAAAUAUUAGGUCUGUUCGACCUUUAAAAUUUUACAUGAU
Molecule: ribosomal RNA, 512 nt
Filed under: Oreina speciosa
Lineage: Eukaryota; Metazoa; Arthropoda; Insecta; Coleoptera; Chrysomelidae
Description: partial 16S ribosomal RNA
Rfam family: Bacterial large subunit ribosomal RNA
Source: RNAcentral